Molecule: ribosomal RNA, 253 nt
Filed under: uncultured bacterium
Lineage: Bacteria
Description: partial 16S ribosomal RNA
Rfam family: Bacterial small subunit ribosomal RNA
Source: RNAcentral
UACGGAGGGUGCAAGCGUUAUCCGGAUUCACUGGGUUUAAAGGGUGCGUAGGCGGGUUGGUAAGUCCGUGGUGAAAUCCCCAAGCUUAGCUUGGGAACUGCCGUGGAUACUAUCAAUCUUGAAUAUCGUGGAGGUAAGCGGAAUAUGUCAUGUAGCGGUGAAAUGCUUAGAUAUGACAUAGAACACCAAUUGCGUAGGCAGCUUACUACACGAUCAUUGACGCUGAGGCACGAAAGCGUGGGGAUCAAACAGG